RNAcentral lists this ribosomal RNA (433 nucleotides) under uncultured bacterium. RNAcentral describes it as "partial 16S ribosomal RNA". It matches the Rfam family "Bacterial small subunit ribosomal RNA", at positions 29 to 507 of the family's 1533-position model. The record is from RNAcentral.
AACGAACGCUGGCGGCAUGCCUAACACAUGCAAGUCGAACGAGACCUUCGGGUCUAGUGGCGCACGGGUGCGUAACGCGUGGGAACCUGCCCUUAGGUUCGGAAUAACGUCCCGAAAGGGGUGCUAAUACCGGAUAAUGUCUUCGGACCAAAGAUUUAUCGCCUUUGGAUGGGCCCGAGUUGGAUUAGCUAGUUGGUAGGGUAAAAGCCUACCAAGGCGACGAUCCAUAGCUGGUCUGAGAGGAUGAUCAGCCACACUGGGACUGAGACACGGCCCAGACUCCUACGGGAAGCAGCAGUGGGGAAUAUUGGACAAUGGGCGAAAGCCUGAUGCAGCAAUGCCGCGUGAGUGCUGAAGGCCUUAGGGUUGUAAAGCUCUUUUACCCGGGAUGAUAAUGACAGUACCGGGAGAAUAAGCUCCGGCUAACUCCGUG